GUGCCAUCAUUUAAAUUUCACUUAGUAAGUGGCAGAUUACAUUAUUCAGUCCCACAAGCACAGAAACAUAGUAACACUAGGAGAUAUUUGAACAUUUAUUUUACAAUCGACUGAAUAUAUUAUGUAAAUGAGGUAAGCAACUUUUGUAGAGAUUGUAUGUGUGAGAUAAUGUAAUGUUCUUUUCCAGUUUUGGACUACAGUUGAAUAAACUUUUUAAUUAUUUAAAAACAUCUUUACCGAAUAACAUGUGAUGGUUUUUUGUAUAAUGUAUUUGAUUUUGUAAAUACGUAUUUCCUGAUGUGAUUUUUGUGAGAAAUGCUAAAUCUUUUAGUAUAUCAUGUCCUCUCAAAAUUGGCAGGAGCUAAAUAAUAGUUUGUGGGCGAUUUGUAUUGUGUACUGUACAAUAACUGGGGAAC
RNAcentral lists this long non-coding RNA (416 nucleotides) under Bos taurus (domestic cattle). RNAcentral's name for it is "long non-coding RNA NONBTAT024316". The record is from RNAcentral. Lineage: Eukaryota; Metazoa; Chordata; Mammalia; Artiodactyla; Bovidae.